CGUAGGUGGGCAAGCGUUGUCCGGAUUUAUUGGGUUUAAAGGGUGGCGUAGGCGGCUUUGUAAGUCAGUGGUGAAAUACGGCAGCUCAACUGUCGAGGUGCCAUUGAUACUGCAGAGCUAGAGUACUGAUGAGGUAGGCGGAAUGGACGGUGUAGCGGUGAAAUGCUUAGAUAUCGUCCAGAACACCGAUAGCGAAGGCAGCUUACUAAAGAGUAACUGACGCUGAGGCACGAAAGUGUGGGGAGUCAAACAGGAUUAGAUACCCUGGUAGUCCACACUGUAAACGUUGAUCACUAGAUGUUGGCGAUACACUGCCAGCGUUCCAGCAAAAGCGAUAAGUGAUCCACCUGGGGAGUACGCCCGCAAGGGUG
This 371-nucleotide ribosomal RNA is filed under the name uncultured organism. Its description in RNAcentral is "bacterial SSU rRNA". It matches the Rfam family "Bacterial small subunit ribosomal RNA", at positions 526 to 896 of the family's 1533-position model. The record is from RNAcentral.